RNAcentral lists this ribosomal RNA (253 nucleotides) under uncultured bacterium. RNAcentral describes it as "partial 16S ribosomal RNA". It matches the Rfam family "Bacterial small subunit ribosomal RNA", at positions 524 to 776 of the family's 1533-position model. The record is from RNAcentral.
UACGGGGGGGGCAAGCGUUGUUCGGAAUUACUGGGCGUAAAGGGCUCGUAGGCGGCCAACUAAGUCAGACGUGAAAUCCCUCGGCCUAACCGGGGAACUGCGUCUGAUACUGGAUGGCUUGAGGUUGGGAGAGGGAUGCGGAAUUCCAGGUGUAGCGGUGAAAUGCGUAGAUAUCUGGAGGAACACCGGUGGCGAAGGCGGCAUCCUGGACCAAUUCUGACGCUGAGGAGCGAAAGCCAGGGGAGCAAACGGG